Pezoporus flaviventris is the source of this 1593-nucleotide long non-coding RNA. RefSeq lists it as uncharacterized. The record is from RefSeq and is a predicted model, not a curated record. Lineage: Eukaryota; Metazoa; Chordata; Aves; Psittaciformes; Psittacidae. The transcript has 3 exons.
GCAUUUGACUCAUGUGCCCUAGAAAAUAACUGCUCACUCCCACUAUGUGCUCAUGUACUGAGCUGGGAUCUAAACCUGACCUGCAGUUCUGGGAUGCAAACUCAUGAUCAAAAUCACUGGAUGCAGGAGGUCAGUGUUGCAGUGUCCUUAGUCUCUGGGGUGAGAGUCCACUAUUUAAGGAGUAGUGUUGUGAAUUCAAAACAGGUUAAUGCUUUCUAAGGUCUAGUGAAGUUACAAAAACAUGGUACAAAAGAGCAUGCCUGCCUUAAAUAAAAGCUGAUUAUAGAGCUCAAUCCUGUUUCUAUUAAAGUCAAUAAGGAGAUCAUGCUUCUAAAUUUCACCCAACCUGGGUCAGGGUCUUUUACAGGGGGCAAAAAGUUUCUGUAUGAAAAAUUGAGGUGUUUGGUUUCCAGCACAAGCAGUAAUUCUGCUCUUGCAGUAAUGCAAUGCAAGUGUGCUCUUCAGGGAGUUUAUUUAAUAAACAGCACAAAAACAGUGGUUCUGUCUACAGCCUUUUCUCCCACACAGCACCUUGAAAGGAACUGAGUACUGGGCCGUAUGAAGCGAAGGCUAACCUUCAACAGGAUUUUAUUCUCCCCAUAGUCCAGGGAUUAAGUUUUCAUUACAGUUAAUAGGACAUGGAAUAGCUAAUAUUUUAAGCCAGAUCUGAGGCUGUGAAUGGGUAGCAGAGUUGUGACUGAUACAGUUUUCUUUAUUUGAUACUCUCAGAAUGUGCACAAUCCAGAGGUGCCUGGUUGUAAAGCUUGGAAAUAGACUCACCUCCUACAGUGAUUAUCAGAAAGACUUCUGAUCCACCUGCACACAUAAGCUGGAUAUUUGUAUGCACGCAUACAUCCACCAAGCACAAGUCUCUUGAGAGUAUUGGCUCUCGUUAUUGACUUUUGCAACCAACCAGGUAGCUGGGCAGAGCAUGUCCAGAGAGAUGCCUGCCUGGCUCACAGCACUCUGGUUAAGGGAAGGCUGGUUCAAUAUAGACCAGAGCAACUAACAGCAGACAACGGUCACUUGAGAGUUUUCAGGAGGCCGAAAGUCACCUACAGACAGUCCCUCGAGGCCCCACGUGGCAGCACGUGGUUGCAGGGAAAAGGCAGGACCCCUGUGUGCAUCACUGCCCACCUCUGCAAGUGCCUGGAGAGGCCGAUGAGAGGAUGUUCCUGUGCCCCAGUCAGUCACACAGCUACCAAAGGCAGGUAGAGCUUCUCCACUGUCAUCCCAACAACAAAACCAGCUUCACUAAUAAUGAAAUCAGACACUGAGUACAUUGGAAUAUUUUAUUUUGACUUUACAUGCGGUGUUAAAAACCCAAAGAACGUAUUAUUUACACAUCCACAAUACAAGUUUACAAGAUAUCUAUACAUGUUAAAGUACUCUAUAGUAUAGAGCAGCUUCAUUUAAGGGUUACUUUUUUAUGCCGUACCAUUAAAAAAGAUACAAUCUGCGUUUACCUUUGCACAAAUGGAUAAAGCAUCUUUUAUUAUUAAAUUAAAAGAAUAAGGACUAGGUUGAAUGUUAGAAAUUUCAACAUAAAUACUGAGAGAACUCACAUUACCAUCUACAAGGCAGCACAAUGUU